This 471-nucleotide ribosomal RNA is filed under the name uncultured bacterium. RNAcentral's name for it is "SSU rRNA". It matches the Rfam family "Bacterial small subunit ribosomal RNA", at positions 26 to 518 of the family's 1533-position model. The record is from RNAcentral.
AGAACGAACGCUGGCGGCAUGCCUAACACAUGCAAGUCGAACGCUCUUGGGGCUUCGGUCUCAGGGGAGUGGCGCACGGGUGAGUAGCGCGUGGGAACCUGCCCUGUUGUGGGGGAUAACCGAGGGAAACUUCGGCUAAUACCGCAUAAGCCGGUUGUCUUGAAGGAGAUGGCCGGGAAAGAUUUAUCGCGACAGGAGGGGCCCGCGUCGGAUUAGCUAGUUGGUGGGGUAACGGCCCACCAAGGCGGUGAUCCGUAGCUGGUCUGAGAGGAUGAUCAGCCACACUGGGACUGAGACACGGCCCAGACUCCUACGGGAGGCAGCAGUGGGGAAUAUUGGACAAUGGGCGCAAGCCUGAUCCAGCAAUGCCGCGUGAGUGAUGAAGGCCUUAGGGUUGUAAAGCUCUUUCGCCCGCGACGAUGAUGACGGUAGCGGGAGAAGAAGCCCGGCUAACUUCGUGCCGGCAGCCGC